CGGCGAUAUUCAACUAAUUACUUUACUAUAAGAAUGAAAAAAAUAUCAUUCUUUAUUAUACUGCUCUUGUUAUACAUAGUUAUAUGACUAAAGUAAAAACAUCGCUAGUGUUUGUAUGAUGACGAGGCAAAUUAUGCGUCAUUUCAAGUUACAUAAGUCAGGGUGUCAGUUAAAAGAUCCACAUAUAUUAUAUACUUUGAUGAAUAAGUCGGUAUUGAUUAUUUAAGUGUCCCUAAAAAAACAUACAUAAAUUAACAAUUCAAAGAACACAUUAUAAUGUUAUAAACUGUCAACAAGAAAGUGCGCAUGCGCCAUAUCCGCCAUUUUGUGUGACCAGUGAGGAGUGAGGGGCGGAGUUUGGCGGCGGCGGUGGCGGCGGCGGUGGGUGGCUGCGGGUGGUGGUCGCCGCCACGCCAGUAGGCCGAUGAGCGCCGCCCCGGGAGGAGGGUUGACGGUGCUAGGAGCUGGUAGGGAGGGAGACACUCCUUUAUGUUGACAAAUUAAAGGGAACAAUCCGCUCUAGAAGGAAGGGAUCUGUACUGCUCGAGGGUGAGGUAUCCACGAACUCUGCCAUUCGUCCCCCCCAAAAAAUACUACUGGCAAGGAUGAUGCCUCCCUCUACUGACGAAGGUGGUGGUGAGGCGACGUAGAAGUGAGUGUGCCUUGUGUGCCCCAAGACUGCCUGCUGGCCUGCGUCACCCACCACCACCUAGACGAGACUCUGCCACCACCUGCGUCCCUCGCCAGGAGUAUCGUGGUAGGCGAAUCUCUCGAGCUUGUGACUCUGUCUGAGGGGGUGUUAGGAUAUUGUCACUCACGCCAUGUAGGUUGAUAGCCUGCAGUGAUGAGAUUAGGGAAGGUUCUACCACAGUACAGACUGAUGGGAGGUCGUCCAGCCUGUUAUGUGGGAUAGAGUAAGGGGUGAUGAACAGUCCAAAAGCAGCCUGCAAUGCAAAUAUAAGGGAAAAUACCACUGUUUUCUCACUUUGGACUGACUAACCACAGCGAAUAAAAUUAACCCAGAUAUGCCCGGCAGUAGAGGCGCGACGUAGAUUCAUCUCAAAUUAGUGCCGAGGAAACAAGACCGACAAGCAAGUAAUAUUGUCCUUCAAUUUUAAAUAAUUUCCUUUUUUUUAUAAAUAAGCGGAUGUUUUGCCACUUGGUGUGUGUCUGUCGGCUCGAUGGUUAUAACCGAAUUCCAACAAGUGUUACUACAAGUUGGUGGUUGUAAGAUAAGGAUAACUAACUAUUUAUGUGCUGUGGCUGAACCGUAACAACUUGCGGCUAUAGAUUUUUUUUAUGGAAUGAUAGAAAGAGGUGAUUCCCUUCAUAAACAUCUCGAACUUGAAGAAACUGACAAAUAAAAGAUAAAACAUAUUUUUUUAAACAAAUGCUUCUGAUAUUUAACGCAAAUUAACUUCGGUUUUUGUUUAUUGUGAUAGUCUGGAUCGAAGUUUCUUAUGACUCGGAUUAUUGAAGUUAGUGACACUAUAUUUAAGCUAUACCAUAAUUUAUGUAUACUUGUAAUAACAAACAUUUGGUAAACACACAUUAUACACACGUCAAAUAUAUCUUCCUUUAAACAUUAGAAAAUCUAUUUGGUAAUAAUAUUGAAAGAGGUACAGUUUACAAUAUACUGUAUAUUCCGUUAUAAAUUAUAUAUAAGAAGAAUAAAAUGUAAGAAGUAUUACAAUAAUUGUGAAAACUUUCAUUGAAAAAAUAAAUGUAGUGAAAUAAAGGAAGAACAGAAAGUGAAAAAUAA
Molecule: long non-coding RNA, 1762 nt
Organism: Homarus americanus (American lobster)
Lineage: Eukaryota; Metazoa; Arthropoda; Malacostraca; Decapoda; Nephropidae
Exons: 2
Source: RefSeq, a predicted model, not a curated record